GCCGUUGUAGUACAGUGGUCAGCACGCUCGGCGCGUAUUCGUGAAGUUCGUGGUUCGAAUCCCGGCAAGGGCA
This 73-nucleotide transfer RNA is filed under the name Stegodyphus mimosarum. It matches the Rfam family "tRNA". Rfam says of the family: Transfer RNA (tRNA) molecules are approximately 80 nucleotides in length. Lineage: Eukaryota; Metazoa; Arthropoda; Arachnida; Araneae; Eresidae. The record is from Rfam by way of RNAcentral.